GUCCCAGUAGCUCAAUUGGAUAGAGCAUCCCCCUCCUAAGGGGAAGGUUGGCAGUUCGAACCUGCCCUGAGACA
RNAcentral lists this transfer RNA (74 nucleotides) under Pseudomonas sp. OV226. RNAcentral's name for it is "tRNA-Arg". It matches the Rfam family "tRNA". Rfam says of the family: Transfer RNA (tRNA) molecules are approximately 80 nucleotides in length. Their secondary structure includes four short double-helical elements and three loops (D, anti-codon, and T loops). Lineage: Bacteria; Pseudomonadati; Pseudomonadota; Gammaproteobacteria; Pseudomonadales; Pseudomonadaceae. The record is from RNAcentral.